Molecule: ribosomal RNA, 1520 nt
Filed under: Klebsiella pneumoniae
Lineage: Bacteria; Pseudomonadati; Pseudomonadota; Gammaproteobacteria; Enterobacterales; Enterobacteriaceae
Also listed under: 1 other name
Description: bacterial SSU rRNA
Rfam family: Bacterial small subunit ribosomal RNA
Source: RNAcentral
AGAGUUUGAUCAUGGCUCAGAUUGAACGCUGGCGGCAGGCCUAACACAUGCAAGUCGAGCGGUAGCACAGAGAGCUUGCUCUCGGGUGACGAGCGGCGGACGGGUGAGUAAUGUCUGGGAAACUGCCUGAUGGAGGGGGAUAACUACUGGAAACGGUAGCUAAUACCGCAUAAUGUCGCAAGACCAAAGUGGGGGACCUUCGGGCCUCAUGCCAUCAGAUGUGCCCAGAUGGGAUUAGCUAGUAGGUGGGGUAACGGCUCACCUAGGCGACGAUCCCUAGCUGGUCUGAGAGGAUGACCAGCCACACUGGAACUGAGACACGGUCCAGACUCCUACGGGAGGCAGCAGUGGGGAAUAUUGCACAAUGGGCGCAAGCCUGAUGCAGCCAUGCCGCGUGUGUGAAGAAGGCCUUCGGGUUGUAAAGCACUUUCAGCGGGGAGGAAGGCGGUAAGGUUAAUAACCUCAUCGAUUGACGUUACCCGCAGAAGAAGCACCGGCUAACUCCGUGCCAGCAGCCGCGGUAAUACGGAGGGUGCAAGCGUUAAUCGGAAUUACUGGGCGUAAAGCGCACGCAGGCGGUCUGUCAAGUCGGAUGUGAAAUCCCCGGGCUCAACCUGGGAACUGCAUUCGAAACUGGCAGGCUAGAGUCUUGUAGAGGGGGGUAGAAUUCCAGGUGUAGCGGUGAAAUGCGUAGAGAUCUGGAGGAAUACCGGUGGCGAAGGCGGCCCCCUGGACAAAGACUGACGCUCAGGUGCGAAAGCGUGGGGAGCAAACAGGAUUAGAUACCCUGGUAGUCCACGCCGUAAACGAUGUCGAUUUGGAGGUUGUGCCCUUGAGGCGUGGCUUCCGGAGCUAACGCGUUAAAUCGACCGCCUGGGGAGUACGGCCGCAAGGUUAAAACUCAAAUGAAUUGACGGGGGCCCGCACAAGCGGUGGAGCAUGUGGUUUAAUUCGAUGCAACGCGAAGAACCUUACCUGGUCUUGACAUCCACAGAACUUUCCAGAGAUGGAUUGGUGCCUUCGGGAACUGUGAGACAGGUGCUGCAUGGCUGUCGUCAGCUCGUGUUGUGAAAUGUUGGGUUAAGUCCCGCAACGAGCGCAACCCUUAUCCUUUGUUGCCAGCGGUUCGGCCGGGAACUCAAAGGAGACUGCCAGUGAUAAACUGGAGGAAGGUGGGGAUGACGUCAAGUCAUCAUGGCCCUUACGACCAGGGCUACACACGUGCUACAAUGGCAUAUACAAAGAGAAGCGACCUCGCGAGAGCAAGCGGACCUCAUAAAGUAUGUCGUAGUCCGGAUUGGAGUCUGCAACUCGACUCCAUGAAGUCGGAAUCGCUAGUAAUCGUAGAUCAGAAUGCUACGGUGAAUACGUUCCCGGGCCUUGUACACACCGCCCGUCACACCAUGGGAGUGGGUUGCAAAAGAAGUAGGUAGCUUAACCUUCGGGAGGGCGCUUACCACUUUGUGAUUCAUGACUGGGGUGAAGUCGUAACAAGGUAACCGUAGGGGAACCUGCGGUUG